GACGAACGCUGGCGGCGUGCUUAACACAUGCAGGUCGAACGGAAAGGCCUGCUUUCCCUUGUGGAUUGCGGGUACUCGAGUGGCGAACGGGUGAGUAACACGUGAGUGAUCUGCCCCCAACUUGGGUAUAAGCCUGGGAAACUGGGUCUAAUUCCCGAUAGGACUGCAGGGUGGUGCCUGUGGUGGAAAACGAUUUUCUAGUGGUUGGGGAUGAGCUCGCGGCCUAUCAGCUUGUUGGUGGGGUAAUGGCCUACCAAGGCGGCGACGGGUAGCCGGCCUGAGAGGGUGGACGGCCACAUUGGGACUGAGAUACGGCCCAGACUCCUACGGGAGGCAGCAGUGGGGAAUAUUACACAAUGGGCGGAAGCCUGAUGCAGCGACGCCGCGUGGGGGAUGACGGCCUUCGGGUUGUAAACUCCUUUCGACCGCGAGGAAGCCACCUGGUUGGAAGGGUGGUGACGGUAGUGGUAGAAGAAGCACCGGCUAACUACGUG
RNAcentral lists this ribosomal RNA (494 nucleotides) under uncultured bacterium. RNAcentral's name for it is "partial 16S ribosomal RNA". It matches the Rfam family "Bacterial small subunit ribosomal RNA", at positions 28 to 507 of the family's 1533-position model. The record is from RNAcentral.